GAUGAACGCUGGCGGCGUGCCUAAUACAUGCAAGUCGAGCGAACGGACGAGAAGCUUGCUUCUCUGAUGUUAGCGGCGGACGGGUGAGUAACACGUGGAUAACCUACCUAUAAGACUGGGAUAUCUUCGGGAAACCGUAGCUAAUACCGGAUAAUAUUUUGAACCGCAUGGUUCAAAAGUGAAAGACGGUCUUGCUGUCACUUAUAGAUGGAUCCGCGCUGCAUUAGCUAGUUGGUAAGGUAACGGCUUACCAAGGCAACGAUGCAUAGCCGACCUGAGAGGGUGAUCGGCCACACUGGAACUGAGACACGGUCCAGACUCCUACGGGAGGCAGCAGUAGGGAAUCUUCCGCAAUGGGCGAAAGCCUGACGGAGCAACGCCGCGUGAGUGAUGAAGGUCUUCGGAUCGUAAAACUCUGUUAUUAGGGAAGAACAUAUGUGUAAGUAACUGUGCACAUCUUGACGGUACCUAAUCAGAAAGCCACGGCUAACUACGUG
This 497-nucleotide ribosomal RNA is filed under the name uncultured bacterium. RNAcentral describes it as "partial 16S ribosomal RNA". It matches the Rfam family "Bacterial small subunit ribosomal RNA", at positions 28 to 507 of the family's 1533-position model. The record is from RNAcentral.